UCAAAAACAUCUUUUCUUGUUAGUUUCUGAAGUAUGGCCUGCCCGCUGACGUAUAUUUAAGUUGAAGGGCCGCGGUAUUUUGACCGUGCAAAGGUAGCAUAGUCAUUAGUUCUUUAAUUGUGAUCUGGUAUGAAUGGCUUGACGAGACAUGGGCUGUCUUAAGGUGUGGAAUUUGUUGUUGAAUUUUGAGUUUGAGUUAAAAUUCUUAGAUGUUUUUAUGGGACGAGAAGACCCUAUAGAGUUUGACAUUUGAUUACGUAUUUCUUGUUGUUUGUUUUAAAUUUUUGCGUGUCUACUUGUUUUGUUGGGGUGAUGGGAGGAAUUUAUUUAA
This 331-nucleotide ribosomal RNA is filed under the name Odontotermes obesus. RNAcentral describes it as "partial 16S ribosomal RNA". Lineage: Eukaryota; Metazoa; Arthropoda; Insecta; Blattodea; Termitidae. The record is from RNAcentral.